GCCUGGCUGGUUCAGCUGGAGGAGUGAGAGACUCUUGAUCUCAGGGUCAUGGGUUCGAGUCCCAUGUUGGGUG
Molecule: transfer RNA, 73 nt
Filed under: Felis catus (domestic cat)
Lineage: Eukaryota; Metazoa; Chordata; Mammalia; Carnivora; Felidae
Rfam family: tRNA
About the family: Transfer RNA (tRNA) molecules are approximately 80 nucleotides in length. Their secondary structure includes four short double-helical elements and three loops (D, anti-codon, and T loops). Further hydrogen bonds mediate the characteristic L-shaped molecular structure. tRNAs have two regions of fundamental functional importance: the anti-codon, which is responsible for specific mRNA codon recognition, and the 3' end, to which the tRNAs corresponding amino acid is attached (by aminoacyl-tRNA synthetases). tRNAs cope with the degeneracy of the genetic code in two manners: having more than one tRNA (with a specific anti-codon) for a particular amino acid; and 'wobble' base-pairing, i.e. permitting non-standard base-pairing at the 3rd anti-codon position.
Source: Rfam by way of RNAcentral